GACGAACGCUGGCGGCGUGCUUAACACAUGCAAGUCGAACGGAAAGGCCCUGCUUUUGUGAGGUGCUCGAGUGGCGAACGGGUGAGUAACACGUGAGUAACCUGCCCUUGACUUUGGGAUAACUUCAGGAAACUGGGGCUAAUACCGGAUAGGAGCUCCUGCUGCAUGGUGGGGGUUUGAAAGUUUCGGCGGUUGGGGAUGGACUCGCGGCUUAUCAGCUUGUUGGUGGGGUAGUGGCUUACCAAGGCUUUGACGGGUAGCCGGCCUGAGAGGGUGACCGGCCACAUUGGGACUGAGAUACGGCCCAGACUCCUACGGGAGGCAGCAGUGGGGAAUAUUGCACAAUGGGCGGAAGCCUGAUGCAGCAACGCCGCGUGCGGGAUGACGGCCUUCGGGUUGUAAACCGCUUUCGCCUGUGACGAAGCGUGAGUGACGGUAAUGGGUAAAGAAGCACCGGCUAACUACGUG
This 468-nucleotide ribosomal RNA is filed under the name uncultured bacterium. Its description in RNAcentral is "partial 16S ribosomal RNA". It matches the Rfam family "Bacterial small subunit ribosomal RNA", at positions 28 to 507 of the family's 1533-position model. The record is from RNAcentral.